UUUUUUUUGCGGUGACACGCAGAUCAAUACAACUUUCAACAACGGAUCUCUUGGCUCUCGCAUCGAUGAAGAACGUAGCGAAAUGCGAUACGUAAUGUGAAUUGCAGAAUUCAGUGAAUCAUCGAAUCUUUGAACGCACCUUGCGCCCCUUGGCAUUCCGAGGGGCACACCCGUUUGAGUGUCGUGAAAUCUUCAAAACCUUUUC
This 205-nucleotide ribosomal RNA is filed under the name Russula xerophila. RNAcentral's name for it is "5.8S ribosomal RNA". The stretch from base 31 to 184 matches the Rfam family "5.8S ribosomal RNA". From Rfam's summary of the family: 5.8S ribosomal RNA (5.8S rRNA) is a component of the large subunit of the eukaryotic ribosome. It is transcribed by RNA polymerase I as part of the 45S precursor that also contains 18S and 28S rRNA. Functionally, it is thought that 5.8S rRNA may be involved in ribosome translocation. The record is from RNAcentral. Lineage: Eukaryota; Fungi; Basidiomycota; Agaricomycetes; Russulales; Russulaceae.